This 740-nucleotide ribosomal RNA is filed under the name uncultured bacterium. Its description in RNAcentral is "bacterial SSU rRNA". It matches the Rfam family "Bacterial small subunit ribosomal RNA", at positions 8 to 796 of the family's 1533-position model. The record is from RNAcentral.
AGAGUUUGAUCCUGGCUCAGAACGAACGCUGGCGGCAGGCUUAACACAUGCAAGUCGAACGCACCGCAAGGUGAGUGGCAGACGGGUGAGUAACGCGUGGGAACGUGCCCUUCAGUUCGGGAUAACCCAGGGAAACUUGGGCUAAUACCGGAUACGUGCGAGAGCAGAAAGAUUGAUCGCUGAAGGAUCGGCCCGCGUCUGAUUAGCUAGUUGGUAGGGUAAUGGCCUACCAAGGCGACGAUCAGUAGCUGGUCUGAGAGGAUGAUCAGCCACAUUGGGACUGAGACACGGCCCAAACUCCUACGGGAGGCAGCAGUGGGGAAUAUUGGACAAUGGGCGCAAGCCUGAUCCAGCCAUGCCGCGUGAGUGAUGAAGGCCUUAGGGUUGUAAAGCUCUUUCGGCGGGGACGAUAAUGACGGUACCCGCAGAAGAAGCCCCGGCUAACUUCGUGCCAGCAGCCGCGGUAAUACGAAGGGGGCUAGCGUUGUUCGGAAUCACUGGGCGUAAAGGGCGCGUAGGCGGCCUGAUAAGUCGGGGGUGAAAGCCUGUGGCUCAACCACAGAAUUGCCUUCGAUACUGUCGGGCUUGAGACCGGAAGAGGUAAGUGGAACUGCGAGUGUAGAGGUGAAAUUCGUAGAUAUUCGCAAGAACACCAGUGGCGAAGGCGGCUUACUGGUCCGGUUCUGNNGCUGANNNNNGAAAGCGUGGGGAGCAAACAGGAUUAGAUACCCUUGUAGUCC